RNAcentral lists this ribosomal RNA (585 nucleotides) under uncultured bacterium. Its description in RNAcentral is "bacterial SSU rRNA". It matches the Rfam family "Bacterial small subunit ribosomal RNA", at positions 338 to 915 of the family's 1533-position model. The record is from RNAcentral.
CCUACGGGAGGCAGCAGUGGGGAAUUUUGGACAAUGGGGGCAACCCUGAUCCAGCAAUGCCGCGUGUGUGAAGAAGGCCUUCGGGUUGUAAAGCACUUUUGUCCGGAAAGAAAUCCCUUGCCCUAAUACGGCGGGGGGAUGACGGUACCGGAAGAAUAAGCACCGGCUAACUACGUGCCAGCAGCCGCGGUAAUACGUAGGGUGCGAGCGUUAAUCGGAAUUACUGGGCGUAAAGCGUGCGCGGGCGGUUUUGUAAGACAGGCGUGAAAUCCCCGAGCUCAACUUGGGAAUGGCGCUUGUGACUGCAAGGCUAGAGUAUGUCAGAGGGGGGUAGAAUUCCACGUGUAGCAGUGAAAUGCGUAGAGAUGUGGAGGAAUACCGAUGGCGAAGGCAGCCCCCUGGGACGUCACUGACGCUCAUGCACGAAAGCGUGGGGAGCAAACAGGAUUAGAUACCCUGGUAGUCCACGCCCUAAACGAUGUCAACUAGUUGUUGGGGAUUCAUUUCUUCAGUAACGUAGCUAACGCGUGAAGUUGACCGCCUGGGGAGUACGGUCGCGAAGGUUAAACCUUAAAUGAAUUGAGG